CCAGCCAACUCUAAAUGAAGAUAUCUUUCUUAAAAUAAAUCUACACUGACAUUACAUGAAAGUUAUCAACUUGAAUUCACUUUUUUUCCAAGUGGUGGUGAUGGGUUAUUUGUCAAAGGUAGAAAGUUCUAUUCUAUUUAUGAAUGCUUUGAGUACAAUUGUGAGAAAGGAGCUGCAACACCAAAAGGCUUGUAUCUUUCUGUGCACAUUCCAGUGUUAGAUGCCAGCAUAUUUAAAGGAAUCAAAGAAUAGCUGUCCCAUUCUAUUAGCAACUCAUCCAACUCAGUACAGACCUGAUGCUGCACUUAGCAAGUAAAUGAAGAUACGUCUUUGAUGUUGGCACAAAUGGAACAGUUCAGUGGUCCAUUUAAUCAACAUGCCAUUCAAACAACAUGUGGCAAAAAGAAUCAAAACUAGAAGUACGGAUUUUGGCCAACCACCAUUCAGAUACAGCUCCCAAUACGUAAGUUCUUCCCAACACUUCUGCAUUUCAUGUUUACAUCACAGAUGAGCAACACUGAGUGGCAGGACACGAUGGUCUCUUUAGAUGACCCCUAAAGCCACAUACAUUCCACCAUGUUUUCUAAAAAUGGACAGCUGAUGAACUAUCAAAACAAUAAUAAAAGUAGACAUCCCAUAAUUCCUUCAACAUCUCAUUCCCACUUCAUGUGAUGUGAAUCUAUCCACUUUUUGGCAAUAAGCCCUGCCACCUUGAGUUUAGGCCACAUCAAGAGCCGAAGCAACAGUUACUAUUGUGUUCAAUAUUAUAUAUAACUGGGAUUUAAAAAGUAUAAUCAGUGGAAAGUAUAAUUGGUAUAAUUUCAUGACUGAGUAUUCUAUGUCCAUUUAAACCAACUGUU
Long non-coding RNA from Ahaetulla prasina, 860 nucleotides. RefSeq lists it as uncharacterized. The transcript is spliced from 3 exons. NCBI's taxonomy places the organism in Eukaryota, Metazoa, Chordata, Lepidosauria, Squamata, Colubridae. The record is from RefSeq and is a predicted model, not a curated record.